Molecule: transfer RNA, 73 nt
Filed under: Cricetulus griseus (Chinese hamster)
Lineage: Eukaryota; Metazoa; Chordata; Mammalia; Rodentia; Cricetidae
Rfam family: tRNA
About the family: Transfer RNA (tRNA) molecules are approximately 80 nucleotides in length. Their secondary structure includes four short double-helical elements and three loops (D, anti-codon, and T loops).
Source: Rfam by way of RNAcentral
UAAGAUAUAACUGGGUUGGUAGAGUGCUUGCUUAACACACAAGAAGCCCUGGGUUUUGUUCUCAGCAUCUUAU